RNAcentral lists this ribosomal RNA (695 nucleotides) under Bacillus sp. (in: firmicutes). RNAcentral describes it as "bacterial SSU rRNA". It matches the Rfam family "Bacterial small subunit ribosomal RNA", at positions 69 to 749 of the family's 1533-position model. Lineage: Bacteria; Bacillati; Bacillota; Bacilli; Caryophanales; Bacillaceae. The record is from RNAcentral.
UCAUUGGAAGCUUGCUUCCUUUGGUUAGCGGCGGACGGGUGAGUAACACGUGGGCAACCUGCCUGUAAGACUGGGAUAACUUCGGGAAACCGGAGCUAAUACCGGAUAAUCCUUUUCCUCUCAUGAGGAAAAGCUGAAAGACGGUUUACGCUGUCACUUACAGAUGGGCCCGCGGCGCAUUAGCUAGUUGGUGAGGUAACGGCUCACCAAGGCGACGAUGCGUAGCCGACCUGAGAGGGUGAUCGGCCACACUGGGACUGAGACACGGCCCAGACUCCUACGGGAGGCAGCAGUAGGGAAUCUUCCGCAAUGGACGAAAGUCUGACGGAGCAACGCCGCGUGAGCGAUGAAGGCCUUCGGGUCGUAAAGCUCUGUUGUUAGGGAAGAACAAGUACCGGAGUAACUGCCGGUACCUUGACGGUACCUAACCAGAAAGCCACGGCUAACUACGUGCCAGCAGCCGCGGUAAUACGUAGGUGGCAAGCGUUGUCCGGAAUUAUUGGGCGUAAAGCGCGCGCAGGCGGUCCUUUAAGUCUGAUGUGAAAGCCCACGGCUCAACCGUGGAGGGUCAUUGGAAACUGGGGGACUUGAGUACAGAAGAGGAAAGUGGAAUUCCACGUGUAGCGGUGAAAUGCGUAGAGAUGUGGAGGAACACCAGUGGCGAAGGCGACUUUCUGGUCUGUAACUGACGCUGA